AUUGCCCUAGUAACGGCGAGUGAAGCGGCAACAGCUCAAAUUUGAAAUCUGGCGUCUUUGGCGUCCGAGUUGUAAUUUGCAGAGGGCGCUUUGGCAUUGGCAGCGGUCCAAGUUCCUUGGAACAGGACGUCACAGAGGGUGAGAAUCCCGUACGUGGUCGCUAGCCUUUACCGUGUAAAGCCCCUUCGACGAGUCGAGUUGUUUGGGAAUGCAGCUCUAAAUGGGAGGUAAAUUUCUUCUAAAGCUAAAUACUGGCCAGAGACCGAUAGCGCACAAGUAGAGUGAUCGAAAGAUGAAAAGCACUUUGGAAAGAGAGUUAAAAAGCACGUGAAAUUGUUGAAAGGGAAGCGCUUGCAGCCAGACUUGCCUGUAGUUGCUCAUCCGGGUUUUUACCCGGUGCACUCUUCUACGGGCAGGCCAGCAUCAGUUUGGGCGGUUGGAUAAAGGUCUCUGUCAUGUACCUCCUCUCGGGGAGAACUUAUAGGGGAGACGACAUGCAACCAGCCCGGACUGAGGUCCGCGCAUCUGCUAGGAUGCUGGCGUAAUGGCUGUAAGCGGCCCGUCUUGAAACACGGACCAAGGAGUCUAACAUCUAUGCGAGUGUUUGGGUGUCAAGCCCGAGCGCGUAAUGAAAGUGAACGGAGGUGGGAACCUUUCGGGGUGCACCAUCGACCGAUCCUGAUGUCUUCGGAUGGAUUUGAGUAAGAGCAUAGCUGUUGGGACCCGAAAGAUGGUGAACUAUGCUUGAAUAGGGUGAAGCCAGAGGAAACUCUGGUGGAGGCUCGCAGCGGUUCUGACGUGCAAAUCGAUCGUCAAAUUUGGGCAUAGGGGCGAAAGACUAAUCGAAC
This 848-nucleotide ribosomal RNA is filed under the name fungal sp. BR488. RNAcentral describes it as "LSU rRNA". It matches the Rfam family "Eukaryotic large subunit ribosomal RNA", at positions 74 to 940 of the family's 3401-position model. The record is from RNAcentral. Lineage: Eukaryota; Fungi.